CGCCAUCGCCUGCUGCCCCCUCUCGGCCUCCCGCGCAGCCUACCCCUCCGCCUCCUCCGGACCAAUCGUCGCUAGCCUUGGCACCUCCUCCGCCAAUAGGCGGCAGUGCCGGCGCGCCGGGAGACCGGACUUGUGCUUUGGGAAGUCCCUGACUCGGGGCGCGGAGCGGAGCGGCUGGCAGGCAGAAUUUCAGUAUGUGACAGAUGUGCCAUUUAUGAGGAAAGGGCCCGGGAACCACUGACCUAGGGGCAAGGAGAGCUGAAAGAGGACUGGACGUUGGGAAGCUCAAGUUUCUUCAGGUUGAUUGCGCCCGACUGUGCUAUAUAUAGGUCUGGGGACGUUGAGACAGCCCUUUGCCUUCAAGGAACUUGCAUUCCUGCUAGGGAGAAUGAUGGUAAUUGUGUAAACAAACGAAAUCACUACCUCUUUGGAUUCCCACAUCUACUUUUACAGUAGAAAAGUGAAGCAUGACUUAGCAUGGAUGCUGGAUUCCAACACGACCUGCCUGAUAUCCUGGUCACCAUCCCACCCACGCUAACAGAGGGCAGCUUUGUCAAAAAUCAGUUACCUGGUCACUCCACUUCUAGCAGAUUAUCCUUGGGAAAAUAUUUACUCAGGAACAAGAAGAACUAUUCAAGAAGAGAGUUAUUUAAAAGACAGAAUGGUUCAUUGACAGUAUGGAAUGUUUUUCACCCAUUAUGUAUGCUCUUUGAUUGAAAGGAAAUAAACUGGGAACGGGGCUUUUCUACAGGUG
This is a long non-coding RNA of Herpailurus yagouaroundi (jaguarundi), 754 nucleotides long. RefSeq lists it as uncharacterized. The record is from RefSeq and is a predicted model, not a curated record. The transcript has 2 exons. NCBI's taxonomy places the organism in Eukaryota, Metazoa, Chordata, Mammalia, Carnivora, Felidae.